CCUACGGGGAGCAGCAGUGAGGAAUAUUGGUCAAUGGGCGGGAGCCUGAACCAGCCAAGUCGCGUGAGGGAAGAUGGUCCUAUGGAUUGUAAACCUCUUUAGGCGGGGAGCAAUGCCGGGCACGCGUGCCCGGAGGGAGAGUACCCGCAGAAUAAGCAUCGGCUAACUCCGUGCCAGCAGCCGCGGUAAUACGGAAGAUGCGAGCGUUAUCCGUUUUUAUUGGGUGUAUAGGGUGCGUAGGCGGAUUUUUAAGUCAGCGGUAAGAUGUCCGGGCUCAACCCGGGCCGGCCGUUGAAACUGGGGAGCUUGAGUGGGCGAGCAGUAUGCGGAAUGCGUGGUGUAGCGGUGAAAUGCAUAGAUAUCACGCAGAACUCCGAUUGCGAAGGCAGCAUACCGGCGCCCGACUGACGCUGAGGCACGAAAGCGUGGGGAUCGAACAGGAUUAGAUACCCUAGUAGUC
RNAcentral lists this ribosomal RNA (460 nucleotides) under uncultured bacterium. RNAcentral's name for it is "partial 16S ribosomal RNA". It matches the Rfam family "Bacterial small subunit ribosomal RNA", at positions 338 to 795 of the family's 1533-position model. The record is from RNAcentral.